Long non-coding RNA from Choloepus didactylus (southern two-toed sloth), 814 nucleotides. RefSeq lists it as uncharacterized. NCBI's taxonomy places the organism in Eukaryota, Metazoa, Chordata, Mammalia, Pilosa, Megalonychidae. The record is from RefSeq and is a predicted model, not a curated record. The transcript is spliced from 3 exons.
GUGCUCUGAGGAAGCAGGCACAAUGUCUCCAGAAAGCAGCGUUGUGUGGCUCCUCGAAGGGCAGAGCUGACAGGCCAGAAGAGAAUUCCAUCUCAAAUGGCCAUCCUGGGGCAUUUCUUGGAGAACACUCUCAGCUCCCGAGUCUCCUCUCCUUGAACUGCUGGGAGGCAGGCUGCAAUCGCACAAGACAGUUGGAAAUGUGGAGAGGGGCUUCUGAACCUGGGCGCUCUGGUUUCGGCUGGAACGCGGAGAAGGUCCUCAGGCCUCUCCGUGGUCUGGUGCGGGUCUCUCAGCAGAGGUUGUCGGGAGGCUGCCAGCGGGAUCCAGCUCUGGGGAGCAGCGCCCAGCAUGGGGCCUGUGCUGGGGAAGACGCAGAUUCACCUCCUAAUGGCCGGAAAAGAAAACACCGCCGGAGACAGAGAAAACAAAGGUUACAGGUUGCAAAAUAGAAGACUUCUUUCUUUCUUAUUUGAGCCUGGGAAACAGAAGAGAAUAAAGACCUUUAAUUGUGUAUUCUUCUGUCAAACCCUUUAUGAAAUGUGGAUAAAUUCCAUUCUUUGAUUGCAUGAGGGGAAAGAAUUGGUUAAAUGACUGUAAUGAUAAGUAGCAUCUUUUAACGAGAACGUGCAGUGGCAGGGAUGCCAUAUGGCUGUAAACUCAUUCCCCGGUUCAGGAAACCCAAGAACAUGUGCUAGCUAAGGACUUGCCCCCAGGUUAGAUCUUGCGCCAUCAGUCUGCUCUCAACUUUGAUUUUCUCAUCUGUGAAAUGGGACAAUAAUGGUGCUGAGUUGUGAGGGUUGUUUUGAAGAUUGAA